Molecule: ribosomal RNA, 518 nt
Filed under: Microdochium sp.
Lineage: Eukaryota; Fungi; Ascomycota; Sordariomycetes; Xylariales; Microdochiaceae
Description: eukaryotic LSU rRNA
Rfam family: 5.8S ribosomal RNA (bases 150-303)
Source: RNAcentral
UUACUGAGUUUUUAACUCUCCAAACCAUGUGAACUUACCACUGUUGCCUCGGUGGUUAGUGCUCUCCUUCGGGGGGGUGCUGCCGCCGGUGGACUACUAAACUCUUGUUAAUUUAUGGCAUUCUGAAUCAUAACUAAGAAAUAAGUUAAAACUUUCAACAACGGAUCUCUUGGUUCUGGCAUCGAUGAAGAACGCAGCGAAAUGCGAUAAGUAAUGUGAAUUGCAGAAUUCAGUGAAUCAUCGAAUCUUUGAACGCACAUUGCGCCCAUUAGUAUUCUAGUGGGCAUGCCUGUUCGAGCGUCAUUUCAACCCUUAAGCCUAGCUUAGCGUUGGGAGACUGCGCUAAACCGCAGCUCCUCAAAACCAGUGGCGGAGUCCUCUCGUACUCUGAGCGUAGUAAUUCUUUAUCUCGCUUCUGCAAGUACGGUUGACGACAGCCAUAAACCGCACCCUCUCGGGGGGCACUUUUUAAUGGUUGACCUCGGAUCAGGUAGGAAUACCCGCUGAACUUAAGCAUA